RNAcentral lists this small RNA (588 nucleotides) under Mycena sp. 7071507. RNAcentral describes it as "eukaryotic LSU rRNA". It matches the Rfam family "Eukaryotic large subunit ribosomal RNA", at positions 72 to 651 of the family's 3401-position model. Lineage: Eukaryota; Fungi; Basidiomycota; Agaricomycetes; Agaricales; Mycenaceae. The record is from RNAcentral.
GGAUUCCCCUAGUAACUGCGAGUGAAGCGGGAAAAGCUCAAAUUUAAAAUCUGGCUUCGGCCCGAGUUGUAAUUUAGAGAAGUGUUACCCGUGCUGGACCGUGUACAAGUCCCCUGGAAUGGGGCGUCAUAGAGGGUGAGAAUCCCGUCUCUGACACGGACUCCCAGUGCAUUGUGGUGCGCUCUCGAAGAGUCGAGUUGUUUGGGAAUGCAGCUCAAAAUGGGUGGUAAAUUCCAUCUAAAGCUAAAUAUUGGGGAGAGACCGAUAGCGAACAAGUACCGUGAGGGAAAGAUGAAAAGAACUUUGGAAAGAGAGUUAAACAGUACGUGAAAUUGCUGAAAGGGAAACGCUUGAAGUCAGUCGCGUUGUGCGGGAUUCAGCCUGGCUUUUGCUUGGUGUACUUCCUGUACGACGGGUCAACAUCAGUUUUGACCAGUGGAUAAGGGCGUAGGGAAUGUGGCAUCUUCGGAUGUGUUAUAGCCUUGCGUCGCAUACAUUGGUUGGGACUGAGGAACUCAGCACGCCGCAAGGCCGGGGUUUACCCACGUUCGUGCUUAGGAUGUUGGCAUAAUGGCUUUAAUCGACCCG